GGUGAUUCAUAAUAACUUUACGGAUCGCAUCUCUGAUGCGACAUAUCAUUCAAGUUUCUUUCUGACCUAUCAGCUUUAGACGGUAGAGGUAUUGGCCUACCGUGGCUAUGACGGGUAACGGGGAAUUAGGGUUCGAUUCCGGAGAGGGAGCCUGAGAAACGGCUACCACAUCUAAGGAAGGCAGCAGGCGCGCAAAUUACCCAAUCGCUGACACAGGGAGGUAGUGACAAGAAAUAACAAUACAGGGCCUAACGGUCUUGUAAUUGGAAUGAGUGAAGUAUAAACCCCUUUACGAGUAUCAAUUGGAGGGCAAGUCUGGUGCCAGCAGCCGCGGUAAUUCCAGCUCCAAUAGCGUAUAUUAAAGUUGUUGCAGUUAAAAAGCUCGUAGUUGGAUUUCUGUUGUAUAAUUUU
RNAcentral lists this ribosomal RNA (411 nucleotides) under Cryptosporidium andersoni. RNAcentral describes it as "SSU rRNA". It matches the Rfam family "Eukaryotic small subunit ribosomal RNA", at positions 245 to 656 of the family's 1831-position model. The record is from RNAcentral. Lineage: Eukaryota; Apicomplexa; Conoidasida; Eucoccidiorida; Cryptosporidiidae.